AGCUCAGUUGGUAGAGCACCUGAUUUGUAAUCAGGGGGACGGAAGUUCGAGUCCGUCCGGGGGCACCA
This 68-nucleotide transfer RNA is filed under the name Pseudomonadales bacterium. RNAcentral's name for it is "tRNA-Thr". It matches the Rfam family "tRNA", at positions 9 to 71 of the family's 71-position model. From Rfam's summary of the family: Transfer RNA (tRNA) molecules are approximately 80 nucleotides in length. The record is from RNAcentral. Lineage: Bacteria; Pseudomonadati; Pseudomonadota; Gammaproteobacteria; Pseudomonadales.